RNAcentral lists this ribosomal RNA (283 nucleotides) under uncultured bacterium. RNAcentral's name for it is "partial 16S ribosomal RNA". It matches the Rfam family "Bacterial small subunit ribosomal RNA", at positions 355 to 629 of the family's 1533-position model. The record is from RNAcentral.
UGGGGAAUUUUGCGCAAUGGGGGAAACCCUGACGCAGCAACGCCGCGUGAGUGAUGAAGGCCUUCGGGUCGUAAAGCUCUGUCAGAGGGGAAGAAGUGCAGGGGCGCUAAUAUCGCUUUUGCUUGACGGUACCCUCAAAGGAAGCACCGGCUAACUCCGUGCCAGCAGCCGCGGUAAUACGGAGGGUGCGAGCGUUGUUCGGAAUUAUUGGGCGUAAAGCGCGUGUAGGCGGUUUGGUAAGUCUGAUGUGAAAGCCCCGGGCUCAACCUGGGGAGUGCAUUGG